Molecule: long non-coding RNA, 456 nt
Filed under: Calidris pugnax (ruff)
Lineage: Eukaryota; Metazoa; Chordata; Aves; Charadriiformes; Scolopacidae
Description: lncRNA (ENSCPUG00000012587.1)
Source: RNAcentral
AUGCUGAGAAAUUUCUGGGCAGCCCUGAGUGAUCCAGGAGAUGUACUUACUCUGUUUCUACCACAGCUCCAGUUUUCUUUUGAUUCCCAUAAUAGGAAACCUGGCAAUGAUGUUUAUCUCCUGAACAAGAUGCAGCACGUGCUGGUUCAAAGAGACCAGUGUGCCUCAAGAUUAUCAUUUACGCAGUGGAUGAAGAUGGCUAUAAAAAGUAACAAUCAAGGGAUGCACAUUCCACUAAUGGAAAGUUUUGGAACAGAAGUGAACAGAAGAUAUUGCCGUGGUUUGCUCAAAAAUGAGACAGAACAUUUUCAUUACUCCUGAGGGACAUUUAUUGAGAACAUGCAAAAGCUGAGAUUGCAAAGGUGAUAAACGAGACAACUGAAGUCCCAUCUCCACAUCCUGAAGUAGAGAAGCAACCUUACAUCAUGGAUAAACUUACUCUUUUACAGAUGAUGG